GUGGGGAAUCUUGCGCAAUGGGCGAAAGCCUGACGCAGCCAUGCCGCGUGAAUGAUGAAGGUCUUAGGAUUGUAAAAUUCUUUCACCGGGGACGAUAAUGACGGCACCCGGAGAAGAAGCUCCGGCUAACUUCGUGCCAGCAGCCGCGGUAAUACGAAGGGGGCUAGCGUUGCUCGGAAUUACUGGGCGUAAAGGGCGCGUAGGCGGACAGCUUAGUCAGAGGUGAAAGCCCAGGGCUCAACCUUGGAAUUGCCUUUGAUACUGGCUGUCUUGAGUAUGGAAGAGGUAUGUGGAACUCCGAGUGUAGAGGUGAAAUUCGUAGAUAUUCGGAAGAACACCAGUGGCGAAGGCGACAUACUGGUCCAUUACUGACGCUGAGGCUCGAAAGCGUGGGGAGCAAACAGGAUUAGAAACCCGAGUAGUCC
RNAcentral lists this ribosomal RNA (425 nucleotides) under uncultured bacterium. RNAcentral's name for it is "partial 16S ribosomal RNA". It matches the Rfam family "Bacterial small subunit ribosomal RNA", at positions 354 to 796 of the family's 1533-position model. The record is from RNAcentral.